Molecule: ribosomal RNA, 245 nt
Filed under: uncultured bacterium
Lineage: Bacteria
Description: partial small subunit ribosomal RNA
Rfam family: Bacterial small subunit ribosomal RNA
Source: RNAcentral
AGAAUCAACGCUGGCGGCGUGCCUAACACAUGCAAGUCGCACGAGAAAGUGGAGCAAUCCACGAGUAGAGUGGCGCACGGGUGAGUAACACGUGAAUAAUCUACCUCCGAGUGGGGAAUAACUGAGAGAAAUCUUAGCUAAUACCGCAUAAUACCCACGGGUCAAAGCAGCAAUGCGCUUGAAGAGGAGUUCGCGGCAGAUUAGUUAGUUGGCGGGGUAAUGGCCCACCAAGACGAUGAUCUGUA